UACGGAAGGCAGCAGUGGGGAAUAUUGCACAAUGGGCGCAAGCCUGAUGCAGCCAUGCCGCGUGUAUGAAGAAGGCCUUCGGGUUGUAAAGUACUUUCAGUCGUGAGGAAGGUGUUAAGGUUAAUAACCUUAGCAAUUGACGUUAGCGACAGAAGAAGCACCGGCUAACUCCGUGCCAGCAGCCGCGGUAAUACGGAGGGUGCGAGCGUUAAUCGGAAUUACUGGGCGUAAAGGGCACGCAGGCGGUUAAUUAAGUUGGAUGUGAAAUCCCCGGGCUUAACCUGGGAAUGGCAUUCAAGACUGGUUAGCUAGAGUCUUGUAGAGGGGGUGAAUUCCAUGUGUAGCGGUGAAAUGCGUAGAGAUGUGGAGGAAUACCGGUGGCGAAGGCGGCCCCUGGGACAAAGACUGACGCUCAUGUGCGAAAGCGUGGGGAGCAAACAGGAUUAGAUACC
This 452-nucleotide ribosomal RNA is filed under the name uncultured bacterium. Its description in RNAcentral is "bacterial SSU rRNA". It matches the Rfam family "Bacterial small subunit ribosomal RNA", at positions 340 to 786 of the family's 1533-position model. The record is from RNAcentral.